This 253-nucleotide ribosomal RNA is filed under the name uncultured bacterium. RNAcentral describes it as "partial 16S ribosomal RNA". It matches the Rfam family "Bacterial small subunit ribosomal RNA", at positions 524 to 776 of the family's 1533-position model. The record is from RNAcentral.
UACGUAGGUGGCGAGCGUUGUCCGGAUUUACUGGGCGUAAAGAGCGCGCAGGCGGUCGUACAAGUCGCGUGUGAAAGCCCCUGGCUCAACUGGGGAGGGUCACGCGAUACUGUUCGACUCGAAGGCAGGAGAGGGAAGUGGAAUUCCCGGUGUAGUGGUGAAAUGCGUAGAUAUCGGGAGGAACACCAGCGGCGAAGGCGACUUCCUGGCCUGUUCUUGACGCUGAGGCGCGAAAGCUAGGGUAGCAAACGGG